Long non-coding RNA from Haliotis rubra (blacklip abalone), 175 nucleotides. RefSeq lists it as uncharacterized. The transcript has 2 exons. The record is from RefSeq and is a predicted model, not a curated record. Lineage: Eukaryota; Metazoa; Mollusca; Gastropoda; Lepetellida; Haliotidae.
CCACAUGCAUUUCAUGCCAAACUAGUGUCAGAGGAGCGAACAGUUUAUGGCUGUGGAGAGUGAUCCUUACAAAUGUGCAGACGAUUUCAACAGGUGCAAAAGAUGCGAGGAAUAAAGGAUAACUCAGAUUUGUCAGUGGCAGCGAACAGUUUCGUAAUAAAUGUCCUCCCAUCAA